This 406-nucleotide ribosomal RNA is filed under the name uncultured bacterium. RNAcentral's name for it is "partial 16S ribosomal RNA". It matches the Rfam family "Bacterial small subunit ribosomal RNA", at positions 29 to 526 of the family's 1533-position model. The record is from RNAcentral.
AUUGAACGCUGGCGGCAGGCCUAACACAUGCAAGUCGAACGAGUGGCGGACGGGUGAGUAAUGUCUGGGAAACUGCCUGAAGGCGGGGGAUAACUACUGGAAACGGUAGCUAAUCCCGCAUACCAUCGGAUGUGCCCAGAUGGGAUUAGCUAGUAGGUGGGGGAACGGCUCACCUAGGCGAAGAUCCCUAGCUGGUCUGAGAGGAGGACCGGCCACACUGGAACUGAGACACGGUCCAGACUACGACGGGAGGCAGCAGGGGGGAAUAGUGCACAAUGGGCGCAAGCCUGAUGCAGCCAGGCCGCGUGUAUGAAGAAGGCCUUCGGGUUGUAAAGUACUUUCAGCGGGGAGGCGUUACCCGAAGAGGAAGCACCGGCUAACUCCGUGCCAGCAGCCGCGGUAAUUC